GCUCGUCUCAAAGAUUAAGCCAUGCAUGUGUAAGUAUAAAUAAUUUUACUUUGAAACUGCGAAUGGCUCAUUAUAUCAGUUAUAGUUUAUUAGAAAUAUUUUACUACUUGGAUAACCGUAGUAAUUCUAGGGCUAAUACAUGAGUAAAACCUCAACUUCGGAAGAGGUGUGUUUAUUAGUAUGAAAACCAUAUAUCUUCGGAUAUAAUAGUGAGUAAUAAUAACCUUUCAUAUCGUAUGUCGUAAGAUAACGAUAGUUCUUUCAAGUUUCUGCCCUAUCAGCUUUCGAUGGUAGUAUAUGGGACUACCAUGGCAGUAACGGGUAACGAAGAAUUUGGGUUCGAUUUCGGAGAGGGAGCCUGAGAGAUGGCUACCACAUCCAAGGAAGGCAGCAGGCGCGUAAAUUACCCAAUCCUGACAUAGGGAGGUAGUGACAAUAAAUCACAAUGCGGAACUUUUAGUUUUGCAAU
Molecule: ribosomal RNA, 469 nt
Filed under: Blastocystis sp.
Lineage: Eukaryota; Bigyra; Opalinata; Blastocystidae
Description: SSU rRNA
Rfam family: Eukaryotic small subunit ribosomal RNA
Source: RNAcentral